AGCUCACAAUUCCUGUCGGGCAGCCUCCUGCAGAGCCUCUGUGAACACAGCUCUCUCUCAGGGGCUGACUCCCCAGGAGCUUCAAACAACAAAGAAUUUAAUUCUAUUUUGUUACCAUCUGAGAUAAUGAAUGGCUUGACCACAGACUAGCAAAAAAGAACUAAAAGCAAAACCUGAACAGCACAGAAAAAUACAGACAUGUUCCCAGCCACGUUCACACCCACCAAGGGUCCAGAAGAGCCCUUGAAGUCAGCUGGCCUCCUACCCCCACACAGCGGCUAGUCUCUGGUGUAAUCGUAGGAGUCACCAGGUUGCCUGUGCAGAGCCUGCUGCUGCCUAAGGACUGAGGACCCUCAAUUACACGAAGGAUUGAAGAAAUGAGAGACAAUUUGCAUCAGCGUUUGCAAAACUCCACAAAAAACCUUUCCUAUUUUUCUUUGGCACUUGACGAAAGUAAUGAUGUUCGUGAUUCUAUACAACUUCUAAUUUUUAUUUGUGGGACAAAUUACUAUUUCGAAGUCACAGAAGAGCUUGCUGCACUGCAAAGCAUCAAAGGAACAACUACAGGACAGGAUAUCUAUGAAAAGGUUUGCCAAACUGUGAAUGGUUUGGAGCUGGACUGAGCAAAACUAGCCAGCGUGACAACUGAUGGUGCUCCUAACAUGGUGGGGUCUAAGAAAGGAGUAAUUGCUUGCAUUAAUCGAGAGAUGGACAAACAUAACCAUUCUCAUCCAAUAGCCAUACACUGCCUCAUCCACCAAUAAGCGCUGUGUCGUAAAUCACUGAAUUGGGACUCUGUUAUGAAAACUGUGGUAUCUUAUGUUAACUUAUUAGAGGUAAUGCACUAAACUACAGACAAUUUCAGGAAUUUCUGUCUGAGCUAAGUGUUGCCUGUGAAGAUGUUCCAUACCACACAAAAGUCCAUUGGCUGAGUCAAGGAAGAAUUUUGAAACAUUUCUAUGACCUACUUCCCACAGACUACAGCUUUUCUGCUUUCAAAAAACAAGUACCAGAGCUCAAUGAUGCAGAAUGGAAAUGGCACCUUGCCUUUCUGACAGAUGUAACAGAGCUACUCAACAAUUUUGCUGUGCAACUUCAAGGAAAGGGGAAGCCCUUCUGUGAUACACAAUCACAUGUGAAAGUAUUUGAAGUAAAAUUAGGCCUCCUCCUCAAACAAGUGAAGGAGAAAAAUUUCUGCCAUCUCCCCACAAGGCAAAAUCUGUUAGCAGAAAAUCCAUUGGUUGCAUUCCCAAAUAAAACAUGUGUGGAUUCACUGGAAAAGUUGCAAAAGGAGUUCCAAUUUAGAUUUAAAGAGCUUCAUCUCCAUGAACAGGACAUACAGCUUUUCCGUAACCCAUUUUCUAUUGACAUUGAAAAUGUGGAUACGAUUUACCAAAUGAACUGGCUGUACUGCAGAAUUGUGACUCUCUGAAAGAUGCAUUCGAGUGAAGCAGCCUUCCUAAUUUCUAUGUAUCUGUCCCCUAUGAGACAUAUUCUAAUCUCAGGAACCAUGCACUCAAAAUGGCAACCAUCUUUGGUAGCACUUAAGUCUGUGAACAGACUUUUUCCAGAAUGAAACAUCUGAAAUCUCCAACCAGAUCUAGACUAAAGGAUGCACACUUGCAUCAUUUGUUACGACUAGCAGUGACAAAUAUGGAACCGAACAUUGACUAUCUCAUUAGCCAAAAGCAGGCCCAUAGUUCCCAUUGAAAUACUGGUAAGUUUGUUGAUUUAACUUUACUUGUUCUUCAUUUUAAAUAUUGUAUUUGUUCCCAUUUUGUUUUUUUACUUCAAAAUAUGUGCAGUGUGCACAGGAAUUUGUUCAUAGUUGUUUUUUUUUAAACUAUAGUCCGCCCCUCCAAUGGUCUGAGGGACAGUGAACUGGGCCCCUGUUUAAAAAGUUUGAAGACCCCUGCUCUAGACCCAGAUAACUAUGAUUCUUAGGAUGGACGAGAGGGGGCGCCCAGCUCCCAGCAAGAGACCUGCCCAGCCCAUUUCUAAGGGAACAGUUGGGAGAAAUUGAAUUUAGCAGCCAGGAGGGGGCAAAAGAAGGCAAAUUUCUCAGGAGUAAGGACCAGGCAGAGAGAAACCACUAACCUUUUAACAAUGCUUAAAAAACUAAUUAUCGGGCGGCACCUGUGGCUCAGUCGGUAAGGCGCCGGCCCCAUAUACUGAGGGUGGCGGGUUCAAACCUGGC
This is a long non-coding RNA of Nycticebus coucang (slow loris), 2197 nucleotides long. RefSeq lists it as uncharacterized. Lineage: Eukaryota; Metazoa; Chordata; Mammalia; Primates; Lorisidae. The transcript is spliced from 4 exons. The record is from RefSeq and is a predicted model, not a curated record.